Molecule: ribosomal RNA, 503 nt
Filed under: uncultured bacterium
Lineage: Bacteria
Description: partial 16S ribosomal RNA
Rfam family: Bacterial small subunit ribosomal RNA
Source: RNAcentral
AUUGAACGCUGGCGGCAGGCUUAACACAUGCAAGUCGAGCGGGGUGAUGGUGCUUGCACUAUCACUUAGCGGCGGACGGGUGAGUAAUGCUUAGGAAUCUGCCUAUUAGUGGGGGACAACAUCUCGAAAGGGAUGCUAAUACCGCAUACGUCCUACGGGAGAAAGCAGGGGAUCACUUGUGACCUUGCGCUAAUAGAUGAGCCUAAGUCGGAUUAGCUAGUUGGUGGGGUAAAGGCCUACCAAGGCGACGAUCUGUAGCGGGUCUGAGAGGCAGAUCCGGCACCCUGGGACUGAGACACGGCCCAGACUCCUACGGGAGGCAGCAGUGGGGAAUAUUGGACAAUGGGGGGAACCCUGAUCCAGCCAUGCCGCGUGUGUGAAGAAGGCCUUAUGGUUGUAAAGCACUUUAAGCGAGGAGGAGGCUCUUUUGGUUAAUACCCAAGAUGAGUGGACGUUACUCGCAGAAUAAGCACCGGCUAACUCUGUGCCAGCCGCCGCAGUAA